CUUUUUGUCAAUUACAAGUUGAUAGUACCUUAAGUCACUUGAGCCCUAAAUAUUAAAAUAGCAACAAUAUUAAAAUCUCAGAAAUCUUUUUAUUAUUCAUAAAUGUUUCAUGUUUAACAUUUUAAAAAUUACAUGUUUUUAUUGACUUUUCCUAGAAAGAAUUUGAAAAGAUAAAUUUAUUUUCUUUUCUCAUAGUAUAUGAUGAAUAGAUAAUUGAAAAGAGAUCUUCCAGAAAGAGCAGAAGGAAGUUUCUUCAAUGGCUUCCUUCAGGAUUUUAAUCAUCCUUACAGCCUCUUUGAGAAUGAUUGAACUUCCAAAUUCCCUAAAGUUAAAAUUUUAAAUUCUAUUAAACAUUUUUUCGAGUAUUUCA
Molecule: small RNA, 370 nt
Filed under: Pongo abelii (Sumatran orangutan)
Lineage: Eukaryota; Metazoa; Chordata; Mammalia; Primates; Hominidae
Description: processed transcript
Source: RNAcentral